Molecule: RNA transcript, 3490 nt
Organism: Artibeus jamaicensis (Jamaican fruit-eating bat)
Lineage: Eukaryota; Metazoa; Chordata; Mammalia; Chiroptera; Phyllostomidae
Gene: NRBF2
Gene name: nuclear receptor binding factor 2
Exons: 5
Source: RefSeq, a predicted model, not a curated record
GGCGCAGGGGGCGGUGUCCGCGGCGCCGGAGGAGGAAGUGGUGAGGUUGUUGCUGCUUCUGCUGGCUGGGCUGGCUCCCGGCUCCCGGGACACGGAGGGGACCCGCCGUCUCCGUCGCUGCUUUGCGCUCCCCUGCUGUUCUCCAUGUUCUUGGGCGACGUUGCUCCCCUUCCUCAGGCCACCUCUUAUUCCGGGGUCUAUGGAAGUAAUGGAAGGACCCCUCAACUUGGCUCAUCAACAGAGCAGACGAGCAGAUCGUUUAUUAGCUGCAGGGAAAUACGAGGAGGCUAUUUCUUGUCACAAAAAGGCUACAGCAUAUCUUUCCGAAGCCAUGAAGCUGACACAGUCUGAGCAGGCUCAUUUAUCACUGGAACUGCAAAGGGACAGCCACAUGAAGCAGCUCCUGCUCAUUCAGGAGCGGUGGAAGAGGGCCAAGCGGGAGGAAAGGCUGAAAGCCCAGCAGAGCACGGACAGGGACGCUGCUGCCCAGCCUCAGGCAUCUCACAGACCCAUCACUGAGGACGCCGAGGGCCAGAGUCUCCUCCCGCACAAGUACAGCCCUUCCACGGAGAAGCGUCCGCCCGAGGUCCAGGGGGUCUUUGACAGGGAUCCAGACACACUGCUAUUUUUACUUCAGCAAAAGAGUGAGCCGACAGAACUGUGCAUUGGCAGCAAAGCCCCUAAAGAUGAUAAAACAGUAAUAGAGGAGCAGGCAACCAAAAUUGCAGAUUUGAAGAGGCAUGUGGAAUUCCUUGUGGCUGAGAAUGAAAGAUUAAGGAAAGAAAAUAAGCAACUAAAGGCUGAAAAGGCCAGACUCCUAAAAGGCCCAGUGGACAAGGAGCUAGAUGUGGACGCUGAUUUUGUAGAGAAGUCAGAGUUGUGGAGCUUGCCGCCACAUGCAGAAACUGCUACAGCCUCUUCGACCUGGCAGAAGUUUGCAGCAAAUACCGGGAAAGCCAAGGAUAUUCCAAUACCCAAUCUUCCUCCCUUGGAUUUUCCGUCUCCAGAACUUCCCCUGAUGGAAUUCUCGGAGGAUAUUCUGAAAGGAUUUAUGAAUAAUUAAAAUGGAAGGCCAUCGAAGAAGUGAGAAGAGGAAAUAAUACUGUUAAUCCCGAAGGAAAAAAAGGGAAAACCACACGCAAGGGUGAUCCCAGAGAGGCUUCGUCCCCUGGCAGGCGCACCGUGCAGAAGAGCUGUCGCCAGGGCUGGAAACAGUCACUGUGAAACGUGUCGCGUACCCGACGUGCUGACUCGAGCUAAGGAUUCCAGACUCGGCAGACACCGACCCCCUGGAGGUUCACUUUCUCCUGAUACAAACCAAAUGGCUACCUGGAAUAAUUUCUUCAAGCGACAGUUUUUCUUAUCUUCAGGGUUAAAAUGUAUAAAAGUAUGUUAUGUGUAAUUAAUCUAUAAUGCCAUAAAUGAUAAUGCAAAACCUAAAUAAUACGGUGACCUGCGGGGCUGCCUUAUAUUUGAAACAUGCUUUCUAUCAUGCAUUGACUGUAUGCAUUUCGUUAUGCACAUUUCAUUUGUUUAAUAAGGCGUGUAAGACACACCUUUCUAGAUGAAACUCUGUGUGCCACACUUUGCACUACUCAUAACAUAAUGAUAACCUCAAGACUAUCAGGAGAAAUAUUUAAAUUUCCAUUUUAUGAAGAACCAAAUUAUUAGUUAUGCUUUUUAAAAGAAAAUUACCAGUUUACAUAAUUAAUCAGGGUGCAUUUUAAGUUCUAACUUUUUGUUUGUUGUAUAAUGCAUCAUUUGAAAAUACUGAGGAAAUGUCCUUUUGUUUUUAAUGAUGCAUGAGUGGAAGUAAUGCUAGUUGGCAGUAUUUGAUUGUAAGAAAUCAAUAAAGUCGUUGUGUUUUAUACCUUCGUUGAACGUGGAUGCUACUUAAAACGCAAGUUUUGUAUGGUUUCUGUGUUGUAAAGUUUUAAUAAGAAUUUGAAGAAAUUCUGUCGAUGUAAUCACUUUGGUAUGUUAUAGAUUUCCUUCAGUAUUUUAUAGCCCAUUUCCCCCCCCCAACUAGGGUGAACAGAGAAGUUCCUGGGGUCUGGGUGAGUCCCGCGCCUCCUCCCCGCCCCACGGGAAGCGGCAGCCCAGGGGUUCCAGGGUGGGAAGGCGAGGAGGGUAAGAGGGUGAAGCACAUUUGGGUAUAAGCCACUGGGUGUGUUGAAAGGGUAGAUUGGGUUUACUGUGUGGAACUGUGGGAGUGAGGAAAAUACGCAGGAACGGCGAACUGCCUCCCCUGAGGACAUCGGGGCAGUGGGGACGGGCUCGCGUGUUUCGUGAUGAAACUGGCAGAAGUAGGAUGAGAUGAAGUGACCGUGCGGAUGUCACGUUUGUGCUUGUCAUCUUGCUACAGAUGACACCAAAAAUAAACCGGCUUCUUAGAAUAUCUCAAAAGGAGUUCUGUUAAAAGUUACAUUAAUUUACCUAUCGUCGAAUAUUUUGCUUGCCUAAACUUCCUUAUAAAACUUCAGAUUUAACAGUUUGUGCCAAAAAUUACUAGCCAUUUUAUUUAAAAAAUAUUUUAUAUAUUUAUUUGUAGAGAGAGGAAGAGAAAUGUUGAUUGGUUGCCUCUUGCACAACCUCAGCCGGAGACCCGGCCCGCAAGCCAGGCUCGUGCUCUCACCUGGAAUCAAACCGGAACCAGGAGCAGAGAGGAAACAGAGAGAGAUAAACAUCAACUGGUUGCUUCCUGCAUGUGCCCCGACUGGGUACUGAACCCACAACCCAAGUACAUGCCCUGACCAGGAAUCAAACCUGCAACCUUCCAGUUUGCAGGAGGAGGCCCAACCAACCCAGCCACACCCACAAGAGCUAACAGAUGAUUUUUAAAGUCUGUAAUUCUAGUUUUAGAAUUGAAAGAGGGCUGCAGCUAUGCCACUUUACCUCAGCUGGCUGUGAUAUUCAUCUGAACACCCCAGCAGAGCUUCCUGUUUUCUGUUUGGAGUCUCAGAAUGCUCCGUAAUGACAAAUGAAAGAACAAAACAUAGUGUGCGUUCCCUUAGCGCUGCUGGCCCCUGCCGUGAAGUUUCCUUAUGAUGAAACAGGUUUUUUGUAAGUAUCUUGGGUUUUCAAAAGCAUCCUAUUUGUGUGAUUUUCAAAGUGUGGUCCCCAAAUGGUGGUAGUAUCAGUGUCAUCUGGGACCUUUAUAUAUAAAAAUGUAAUAUUUUGGGUUCCUCUUCAGACCCAUGGAGUCACAUGUUCUGGGGUUGGGGCCUGGCAAUCUGUGUUUUAUUUUAAUCAAGUGCUCCAGGAAAUUCUAGUGUUUGCUAACCUAUGAGGAGUACUCUGAAGUAAGAGAAGUACUGACUUCAGAGUUUGGGAUUAUUUUAAGGGCCACAGGCAGUUAUUGCAAGUGCUGAAGCCACCAAGAAAAAACUUUCAGGACCUCUAAGGACUGAAUAAACUGUAAAUAAUAAAGCAUCUCAAAUCCAACUCCAUAUUGUGAACAGUUAUUCCUUUCAAUUCUCGCUCCAACCAC